RNAcentral lists this ribosomal RNA (850 nucleotides) under uncultured Russula. Its description in RNAcentral is "eukaryotic LSU rRNA". The stretch from base 261 to 414 matches the Rfam family "5.8S ribosomal RNA". The record is from RNAcentral. Lineage: Eukaryota; Fungi; Basidiomycota; Agaricomycetes; Russulales; Russulaceae.
UCUUGGUCANUUAGAGGAAGUAAAAGUNGUAACNAGGUUUCCGUAGGUGAACCUGCGGAAGGAUCAUUAUCGUUAAACCGAGGCGCGAGGGCUGUCGCUGACCUUUCCCGGUCGUGCACGCCCGAGCCCUCUCACACAAUCCAUCUCACCCUUUGUGCAUCACCGCGUGGGUCCCCCUUUGCCGGAGGGCCCGCGUCUUUACACAAAACUCGAUACAGUGUAGAAUGUUUAUUUUCGCCGUCGCACGCGAUCAAUAAUACAACUUUCAACAACGGAUCUCUUGGCUCUCGCAUCGAUGAAGAACGCAGCGAAAUGCGAUACGUAAUGUGAAUUGCAGAAUUCAGUGAAUCAUCGAAUCUUUGAACGCACCUUGCGCCCCUUGGCAUUCCGAGGGGCACACCCGUUUGAGUGUCGUGAAAUCUUCAAAAACCCUCUCUUUUGAGGUUUUUUGGACUUGGAGGUUCAAUGCUCGCUUUCUUCUUUUAGGAAGCGAGCUCCUCUCAAAUGAAUCAGUGGGGUCUGCUUUGCCGGUCCUUGACGUGAUAAGAUGUUUCUACGUUUUGGAUUCGACAUCGUCCCGCUCCCAAUCGUCCCACGGACAAAAGGAUGGUGCUCCGGUCGCGGGUCAUCGCUCGCGGCUGGACCCACGAAAAAAACCUUGACCUCAAAUCGGGUGAGACUACCCGCUGAACUUAAGCAUAUCAAUAAGCGGAGGAAAAGAAACUAACAAGGAUUCCCCUAGUAACUGCGAGUGAAGCGGGAAAAGCUCAAAUUUAAAAUCUGGCGGUCUUUGGCCGUCCGAGUUGUAAUUUAGAGAAGCGUCUUCCGCGCUGGACCGUGUACAAAGUCU